GGGAUGGCUUAGCAGGUAAGAGCACUGACUGCUCUUCCAGAGGACCUGGGUUCAAUUCCCAGCACCCA
This 68-nucleotide transfer RNA is filed under the name Mesocricetus auratus (golden hamster). It matches the Rfam family "tRNA". Rfam says of the family: Transfer RNA (tRNA) molecules are approximately 80 nucleotides in length. The record is from Rfam by way of RNAcentral. Lineage: Eukaryota; Metazoa; Chordata; Mammalia; Rodentia; Cricetidae.